UUGUACUGCAUUACUGAAAAUACUAAUGUUUCAGUUGCCUGUGGUCCCCUAUAGUCCAGAAGCAUAUGAUCCUUCUGAUGAAGCAUCAUAAGGUCACUAUCAGCCUAACUCUACAUUACAAUGCCUAGUCAUUCACCUCACUUCACUUCAUCAUGAGGACCUUUUAUCAUUUCACAUCACCACAAGAAGAAGGCCCAUCCAGGCAAUAUCUUGAAACAUUGAAGAGAUCAGCAACAUUACAGAAGAGAGUAUGGAUCAG
This is a long non-coding RNA of Lutra lutra (Eurasian river otter), 259 nucleotides long. RefSeq lists it as uncharacterized. The transcript is spliced from 3 exons. The record is from RefSeq and is a predicted model, not a curated record. NCBI's taxonomy places the organism in Eukaryota, Metazoa, Chordata, Mammalia, Carnivora, Mustelidae.